RNAcentral lists this non-coding RNA (159 nucleotides) under Candidatus Omnitrophota bacterium. Its description in RNAcentral is "6S RNA". It matches the Rfam family "6S / SsrS RNA". From Rfam's summary of the family: E. coli 6S RNA was the first non coding RNA to be sequenced, but its function was unknown until recently. It consists of 184 nucleotides that fold into an extended hairpin structure with a large single-stranded internal bulge. The record is from RNAcentral. Lineage: Bacteria; Pseudomonadati; Candidatus Omnitrophota.
AUAUCCCUGCGGUGCGCGUUAGAGACCAGAUAAUUGUUGAACCAACACCAACAAUAGGGGAGCCCGUAGUUCUUGUGCGCCUUGGCGCGGCAAGAUAGGGCACCCACCUGAAACUAAACCGGUUCAGACUAUCCCUCUAACGGCACAGGCGGGGAUUUU